CUUGUUACAAUGUGAUUUAUUCGUUUGGUUGCAAGUGAAUUGUCCCACUGUUAUUUUGGAACUUCACAAAACAUUCCGCUCAACUGUUCAAAUAUUGAUGCAGUGUCAAUAGCUGCUGCAGCAUCCUUCAAUUCCUACCUUUACUGAACCACUAUUCUACGUACAUCACCUAUCAGCAUAAGAUCGCCCCCUCUGUAAGAAUCUGCUCAUAAUAUCAAUGAUCAUACCGCGCAUUCAACGCACAGUUCAGUGACCUUUACACUAGUUUUAACGCCUGUACGCGUGUGAAGAUCUACAUACAAUCAACGAAGAAUGUACACAUCAAGGUCACCUUUCCAUACACACUUUGCAUAUGCCCAAUCAACUUACAACCUGAAAGUGAAGUGACUACUGCUAACAUGAGUUGAUAGUCACUUCUUAGUUCUAAUUCCCGCAACACUGAAGGCCCUUGUUCUCCUAUGGCCCUGUUUUGGAGGAUUUGUGCGUAGGAAUAUCCCCACAUGGACAACAUAAACCGCAGGUAGACGGCGCAGAUGGGGUGCUCAACGCGCAACACAAAAAAAGAAAAAAAUAAGAUAUAUGUGCUUGAGGACACAGAACCAGCUUACUAGCCCAUAACAAAGUUAAUGCAAGUUAAGGAAGUUAAGGUCGUUUCCCAGUACCCUACUAAUUGUGUAGCAUGAAGAUACACAGUAAUCACCAACCAACACGCGUCAUCAUUGCCCGUAAAAUCAAGACACUAGUGCAAGGGAACAAAACCAGAAAAUUUUCAGGCCGGACAAUUUAACUUCUUCGUGUCAAACCCAGGAUCAUGGUACAGAGAUGCUUUCCUCUCUAAGGGGUCCCACAUGUGGUAGCAGCUGGUUAAGGAUGACAACAAAACAAAAAAACCUAGCCGUCAGGAUAGCACUGAGCGAACAUGAUCCAAAUGCAGCUCAGUCAAACAGACUGAAGCCCAUGUCCUGCACAACAACAGAACAAUACAGAUAGUGAGUGACGGCUUUGUGCGAAAUUAACUAAACCCUAACCUAAAUUAUAACCCUAAUAAGCACCCUGCACUCCCUUGUGCAGGAAUUUUAACCAUCUCUAGCGGCGGAAAGAAAUGUGAAAAAUGGAAGAAAUUGAAGAAAGAAAAAAUAAUCCAUUUGAGACAGACUUGUACCAUGCUGUGAUAAAGAUAGGAGAUGACCGAACAGAUAUAAAUACCAAUGGUAUGCAACCCCAACGUAAUAUUUAAUACCCUCUACAUUGAAAUUCCAACGACAUAAAAUGCAAAUCACAUGUGCCUCAUUAAAGACAACGAAACGUACAUCAUCUGACUCUUCCUUCUCCUCCUCCUUCUUGGCUUCUUCCUUCUCCUCGGCAGCAGGGGCAGCAGAACCGCCACCAGCGCCUGCAGAAGACACCACAACACCGCCACCUCCACCUGAGGGUACGGAUGCGAACUUUUCCUUUCCUGCUGCAAUAACUUCCAAGAUAUCUUUUCCCUCGAGCUCCUUCAACAAUAGGCUUACUCUAGCCGCAUCUGCCUCAGCACCGACUG
Molecule: long non-coding RNA, 1543 nt
Filed under: Physcomitrium patens
Lineage: Eukaryota; Viridiplantae; Streptophyta; Bryopsida; Funariales; Funariaceae
Description: long non-coding RNA (PPAT_LNC001248)
Source: RNAcentral